This 1466-nucleotide ribosomal RNA is filed under the name Rhodococcus sp. (in: high G+C Gram-positive bacteria). RNAcentral's name for it is "bacterial SSU rRNA". It matches the Rfam family "Bacterial small subunit ribosomal RNA". The record is from RNAcentral. Lineage: Bacteria; Bacillati; Actinomycetota; Actinomycetes; Mycobacteriales; Nocardiaceae.
AAAGGUACUACAUACUAUAUAUACCAUGCAGUCGAGCGGUAAGGCCUGUAUCGGGGUACACGAGCGGCGAACGGGUGAGUAACACGUGGGUGAUCUGCCCUGCACUCUGGGAUAAGCUUGGGAAACUGGGUCUAAUACCGGAUAUGACCACAGCAUGCAUGUGUUGUGGUGGAAAGAUUUAUCGGUGCAGGAUGGGCCCGCGGCCUAUCAGCUUGUUGGUGGGGUAAUGGCCUACCAAGGCGACGACGGGUAGCCGACCUGAGAGGGUGACCGGCCACACUGGGACUGAGACACGGUCCCCAAAGACUUCCUCACGGAAGGCAGCAGUGGGGAAUAUUGCACAAUCGACCGAAUGCCUUGAUUGCAUGCGACGCCGCGUGAGGGGAUGAAAGGCCUUCGGGUGGUAAACCUCUUUCAGCAGGGACGAAGCGUGAGUGACGGUACCUGCAGAAGAAAGCACCGGGCUAAACUACGUGCCAGCAGCCGCGGUAAUACGUAGGGUGCGAGCGUUGUCCGGAAUUACUGGGCGUAAAGAGUUCGUAGGCGGUUUGUCGCGUCGUUUGUGAAAACCCGGGGCUCAACUUCGGGCUUGCAGGCGAUACGGGCAGACUUGAGUGUUUCAGGGGAGACUGGAAUUCCUGGUGUAGCGGUGAAAUGCGCAGAUAUCAGGAGGAACACCGGUGGCGAAGGCGGGUCUCUGGGAAACAACUGACGCUGAGGAACGAAAGCGUGGGUAGCAAACAGGAUUAGAUACCCUGGUAGUCCACGCCGUAAACGGUGGGCGCUAGGUGUGGGUUCCUUCCACGGGAUCUGUGCCGUAGCUAACGCAUUAAGCGCCCCGCCUGGGGAGUACGGCCGCAAGGCUAAAACUCAAAGGAAUUGACGGGGGCCCGCACAAGCGGCGGAGCAUGUGGAUUAAUUCGAUGCAACGCGAAGAACCCUUACCUGGGUUUGACAUACACCGGAAAACCCGUAGAGAUACGGUCCCCCUUUGUGGGUCGGUGUACAGGUGGUGCAUGGGCUGUCGUCAGCUCGUGUCGUGAGAUGUUUGGGUUUAAGUCCCGGCAACGAGCGCAAACCCUUGUUCUUAUGUUGCCAGCACGUAAUGGUGGGAACUCGGUAAGAAGACCUGGCCAGAGGUCAACUUCGGCAGGCAAGGGUGGGGGGAACGGACGUCAAGUCAUCAUGCCCCUUAUGUCCAGGGCUUCACACAUGCUACAAUGGCCAGUACAGAGGGCUGCGAGACCGUGAGGUGGAGCGAAUCCCUUAAAGCUGGUCUCAGUUCGGAUCGGGGUCUGCAACUCGACCCCGUGAAGUCGGAGUCGCUAGUAAUCGCAGAUCAGCAACGCUGCGGUGAAUACGUUCCCGGGCCUUGUACACACCGCCCGUCACGUCAUGAAAGUCGGUAACACCCGAAGCCGGUGGUCACGUAGACCCCCGUGGAGGAGCACUUACGCCAGUAAUUG